Molecule: long non-coding RNA, 1176 nt
Filed under: Olea europaea subsp. europaea
Lineage: Eukaryota; Viridiplantae; Streptophyta; Magnoliopsida; Lamiales; Oleaceae
Source: RNAcentral
GUCUCAAUGCCCAUGAAAAAUUUAAUCACAGAAGUUAUGCAACAAAUCAUGAUCAUUAAUUGAUGAAAAACAAGAAAUUCAUACGUGAUUAAUAUUAAGAGACGAAAUUGGCAACAAAAUUUCAAAAUGAAAUUUAAUGCAUAAAUAAUGGCAAUACAUAACAUUUUAAUGAAAUAAUAAAAAAGUCGUCAAUUAAUUUUAUUAUUUAUUCAACAUAUAAUUUUAAUCGGGUCAAGUUUAAAUAAAAUUUCAAUUGGGUCAAAAUUGAAAUCUUAGAAUCAAAACUUUUUAAAAGGUUCAAAUUUAAUACCCUUUGAAAAUUACAUAUUAACCCUAGAUUUAAAUUAAAACUGGGUCUCUCAAUAUUUAAAAUUGUGUGGCAGGUCCUUACUUAAAAAUUUGCAAAACAAGCCCUAAUCCUUUAAUUUCUGUAUGGGACCUCUAAACUCACAAAUUGCAAGACUAGUCCCAUCCCCAAAUAUAUUACAUACGGCUAAAAUCAAAGAUUAUAACCCAAAAGAAAAAAACCACCAUUCUUCUCUCAGUUUCCGCCAUCGACAACAUGGUUAUGUGUCAAUAAUAACCGAUUUAUCAACUUACAAGGAAUUAGAAUUCAAAAAGGACAACCACGAUCCUCUCUAACUGUUCGAUAAUUGCCGCAAACGCACCACCCACGAAGCAGUUUGGCGCCUUCAAAGACAUUUUUUUUUUUUAGGGUUGUUGCGGUUGAUUCGGCGGUGUGGCAAGUGGGCCGAGCUUGAUUUUAUUUUCGCAUCAGUAUCGUGCAAAUGUAUAUAUACUGUGAAACUUCCAUGACACUCCAUGGUUCAAACUCAGGUACUGCCAGAAUGUCUGGUACUUAUCAAGUCUUCAACAUUGGAAUUCACUGGACAUUCAAUAAAGUAAUUUGAUUCCAAGACAGUAGGACUUUAAAGUAAUGGACCAGAUUUAGGAUUGGGAUUGGGAUUGGGAUUUAUGUUUCUAAAUCUAAUGGAAUGUUCAAAGGUUACUGGAGAAUGGGAAAGAAGGAAAAAAAAAAUAAUAAUAAUAAAUACAUGGGUGGUAUGGGUCACAUGGUGAUGGCGGCGUAGUUGGGGUUUUCCAGUGCUGAUUACGACCCAAAAAGGAAUUGCUAGUGCAUAUAUUGUAUAUGCAUUCCAUGCGUGUAUAUUUAAU